UUUUUUCUGAUAUAUUUUGAAUAUGAAUAAUCAUCGUAUUUUUACUUUAAACAAUUAAAUAAAUGGGACCAUGACACUUGAACUGGUUUAUAUAAAAAAAACAUGGCCGGCAUCUAGGUCAGGUUAUGACAGACACAUUUCUGGGAUACAUUGUUUAUUGCACUCGAUUUGUAUUUGUCAUGGUCUUUAUAGAAAGUUAUUGUUAACUUUUUUUCUAAAUUAGACAUUGAUUUUUUUACAAAAUAAAUUGAAGUCAAGGCUGCAAUAAAAGAAAAAAGAAAACAAAAGUUGGCACUUCAUUUUUGUUUACAGUAUUUUUUCUACAUCACUAUGACAAAAAAUGUAAUUGGACACAUAACAUAUUUUGCAAUUUGUUUACAAUGAAUGAGCUUGACAUAGAUCUACAUCAAGUAGAUUUAUACUGUAUAAAAUAUUUUAAAAAAAGGAAAUAUAUGACAAGGCUUCAGUACAGGGAUAACAUUUCCUUUGCUAAAUUGAUCUUGAAUUGUAAUAGAAAAUCAUUUGUCAAUAAUUACAGUACUGCUGCUUUUGAAAUACAAUAAAUAUAUCUAGUACUGUGAUUGAAGAUGUGACCAUAGAUAAAAAUUAAAAUGCAUUUAUUUUUAUUAGCCCUUUGCCUUUGGUGGUAUCUACAAUAAAUCAUAUUAUAUUCACAUUACUCAUACCACAUGGCAUGUUCUACCAGCAGGGUUUCCAUUAAAUUCCAAACAUUGGCAGUCAAAGACUGCAAAAUGUAUGUAAUUGGAAGUCACUUUGUAGGUAAAGAAGGAAAAGCAUUACAUUUUGGAAGCCAAAAUCAAGGUGUAAAUGACUCCCAAACUUUAAUAACAGAAGCCCUGCUAUCAGGAUAUUUUUAACAUUCAUGAGCCAGCACUUUUUGCUGAUGAAAUAUUUUGUGUUGUUGUUUUAGGUCUGACAGCCAACAUACAUUUAAGAUCUUCAACUUAGUUCAUCAGAGUUUUGAAGUAGAUAAUAUGAUUAUCCAGCAUGUUGGAGCCAUAUUCUUCAAGGAAAUGUACUUAAGACAUAGAUAGUUCACCUAUUUGCUGAUGAAUAUACUAAACUAUUGUUGGAAAUGAGGCACAAUGUGUGACAUAGUUCUAUGCCCUAUUGAGCACCAGGGUUAUGUUAGAGUAAAAAAGACAAUCACUUGUAUCAACUGUACUGUAUUGGUCAAGAUAAAAAAACACUUCAAUUGGGGUGGCAUGUGAGAAGUCAAUGACUUGUCUAUGUUUGACAGUAUACCAAAAGUGAAUUACAAUUUUAUAGAAUUUGUCUUUAGAAGUAUCCCUGAAAAAGCUGAAUACUACAGUGGCAGGUGUUACAAUUUUUUUACUUAAUUGUGAAACAAGUUUUAUAUAUGAAUCACUUUUUGCUUACAAAACCUGAAGACAUAUGAGGAGACAUAGUUGCUAUUACCCUGUUUGGGUCAAACCCUCAACAUGGGGUUGAAAAAAAGACUAUAAUUCAAGGACACAAAUGAACUCUCAUUUGUGACUUCCCAUGUGAUUGCUAGAAUCUGUUAUUGUAAUUGUUUUAAAUUAAUUGAAAAUAUUUCAAUUUAAAAAUAAACUAAUAUGUUAUUCAUAUUAUACAAUU
This is a long non-coding RNA of Ruditapes philippinarum (Manila clam), 1620 nucleotides long. RefSeq lists it as uncharacterized. The record is from RefSeq and is a predicted model, not a curated record. NCBI's taxonomy places the organism in Eukaryota, Metazoa, Mollusca, Bivalvia, Venerida, Veneridae. The transcript has 3 exons.